This is a non-coding RNA of Fimicolochytrium jonesii, 86 nucleotides long. The record is from the annotation of a RefSeq genome assembly. Lineage: Eukaryota; Fungi; Chytridiomycota; Chytridiomycetes; Spizellomycetales; Powellomycetaceae.
GCUUUCGUGGCGCAAUUGGUUAGCGCGUUCGACUGUUACACAAGAUAGCAAUCGAGAGGUUGGCAGUUCAAGCCUGCCCGAGAGCG